RNAcentral lists this transfer RNA (81 nucleotides) under Paragonimus skrjabini miyazakii. RNAcentral's name for it is "Paragonimus miyazakii tRNA". It matches the Rfam family "tRNA". From Rfam's summary of the family: Transfer RNA (tRNA) molecules are approximately 80 nucleotides in length. Their secondary structure includes four short double-helical elements and three loops (D, anti-codon, and T loops). Lineage: Eukaryota; Metazoa; Platyhelminthes; Trematoda; Plagiorchiida; Troglotrematidae. The record is from Rfam by way of RNAcentral.
GGCUUCGUAGUUCAGCUGAUAGAGCGCUUGCUGCAUUGAGGCAUGCUGUUUCUGUCGCUGGUUCGAAUCCAGUCGAAGCCC